AUUCCGCAGAUAAACUUUAAUUAGUCUUGUGCUAUCUAUUUAUAGCAAAAUUAGGUAUUUAAAGGCAGUAACUCAAAUCUGAAUACAUAUUACAGGAAAUCUAUUUCUGUAGUAGUUCCUACAUUUCUUUUUUAUGAGUUAAAACAUUUCAUGACUAUUUAAAGUAUAUAGAAGAAUUUUAAAAAAUGUACAGAGAUGGGUAGUGUAAAACUCUACACAUAUUAGAUGAGUCAGACUCUUUCACUAAGUACUGGUAGAGGCAAUCAACACUGUAACUCUGAAUCAUAGCCCUCUUUUGGACAAAGGAAAAGUAGCUCGGAGCUCUGAGACUAGACUCUGAGCUGUUCACAUUCAAUGCUGAAUUAAAUGUCAAAUUUCCAGACAACCUUGGAAAAGAAUGCUUUAAUUUAAAAAACUUUUAGCUAACUCUCAGCACCAUUCUACUUACAAGGGCCAAAUAUUAAGACAGUUAACUCUUAGGUAGAAGUGACUUGAAAUUAAGUCUAUAGGAACUUCAGUUCUAUAAUGAUAUCUAUCUUCAGCACAGUCCUGAAGACGUUUGUCUAAAACUGUUCAUGUUUCUGAUGAAGAUGCUGCCUAUCUUAUUUAACAUUCCUGGUGCCCUUUGAUCUUGGAGAUUUAAAUUUCUCUUUCACCUGAAAGACAUCUUUCAGGCAGUGCAGGCAGGCUGGAAACGAAUUCUCUCAGCUGUUAUUCUUCAGCAAAUGUCUUUAUUUAACUCUUGUUUACGGAGGCUCUUUCUGCUGGAUAUAAAACUGAGAUGACAGUUUUUUCUUUCAGUACUUUAAGAAAGUCAUUUCAUUGUCUUCUGGACUCCAUUGUUUCUGAUGAGAAUUAUGAAUUCUGUUUUGCUUUGGAGAAGAAAAAUGCGAUCCCCC
RNAcentral lists this long non-coding RNA (899 nucleotides) under Homo sapiens (human). Its description in RNAcentral is "HSALNT0376399". The record is from RNAcentral. Lineage: Eukaryota; Metazoa; Chordata; Mammalia; Primates; Hominidae.